RNAcentral lists this ribosomal RNA (253 nucleotides) under uncultured bacterium. Its description in RNAcentral is "partial 16S ribosomal RNA". It matches the Rfam family "Bacterial small subunit ribosomal RNA", at positions 524 to 776 of the family's 1533-position model. The record is from RNAcentral.
UACAGAGGUCUCAAGCGUUGUUCGGAUUCAUUGGGCGUAAAGGGUGCGUAGGCGGCGCGGUAAGUCGGGUGUGAAAUCUCGGAGCUUAACUCCGAAACUGCAUUCGAUACUGCCGUGCUUGAGGACUGGAGAGGAGACUGGAAUUUACGGUGUAGCGGUGAAAUGCGUAGAUAUUGGGAAGAACACCUGAGGCGAAGGCGGGUUGCUGGGCCGACACUGACGCUGAUGCGCGAAAGCCAGGGGAGCGAACGGG